Molecule: ribosomal RNA, 529 nt
Filed under: uncultured bacterium
Lineage: Bacteria
Description: bacterial SSU rRNA
Rfam family: Bacterial small subunit ribosomal RNA
Source: RNAcentral
AAUAGAUACCCUGGUAGUCCACGCCGUAAACGAUGAGUGCUAAGUGUUAGAGGGUUUCCGCCCUUUAGUGCUGCAGCUAACGCAUUAAGCACUCCGCCUGGGGAGUACGGUCGCAAGACUGAAACUCAAAGGAAUUGACGGGGGCCCGCACAAGCGGUGGAGCAUGUGGUUUAAUUCGAAGCAACGCGAAGAACCUUACCAGGUCUUGACAUCCUCUGACAACUCUAGAGAUAGAGCGUUCCCCUUCGGGGGACAGAGUGACAGGUGGUGCAUGGUUGUCGUCAGCUCGUGUCGUGAGAUGUUGGGUUAAGUCCCGCAACGAGCGCAACCCUUGAUCUUAGUUGCCAGCAUUCAGUUGGGCACUCUAAGGUGACUGCCGGUGACAAACCGGAGGAAGGUGGGGAUGACGUCAAAUCAUCAUGCCCCUUAUGACCUGGGCUACACACGUGCUACAAUGGAUGGUACAAAGGGCUGCAAGACCGCGAGGUCAAGCCAAUCCCAUAAAACCAUUCUCAGUUCGGAUUGGUAC